Long non-coding RNA from Falco peregrinus (peregrine falcon), 524 nucleotides. RefSeq lists it as uncharacterized. The transcript has 3 exons. NCBI's taxonomy places the organism in Eukaryota, Metazoa, Chordata, Aves, Falconiformes, Falconidae. The record is from RefSeq and is a predicted model, not a curated record.
UUCCCCUUCUAGCAAUGCCCCGCAAUUGCCGCCUGGAUGUGGACUGCAACCAGCAGCAAACCCACCUCCUUCCCUGGGAUCCCCAAGGGGAGGGCAGAGGUGUUAGUGCUGCUCAGGAAAACACCUGUGCUCACCCCUUCUUCUCAGCCUGUGUGCCAAACAGUCCUAGGACCUUUCUGUUUACUCUUUUUUUAAACACAGAUCCUUUUAUUAGCAGUGAGCCCAGCCAGCAGAAGACGGUGUGCUGCUAAAGUCGUCCUGUUCCUGGCAAAGGGUUCACAGCUCAUCGUUGGGGUGCCUGGGGAGGCUCUGCAGCAGGACAGCGCUUUUAGCAGUGGGAUGUGCAGGAGAGAAUCAGGAAUGGUGGAAAGGAGAAAGAAAGGGCUGGAUCCUGCUCCCUUUCCAGCCAAGUGACUGCCUUGUCCUGCCCCCGGAAAGGGCAGUCAUCUGUCACUGUAACCGGGAGAUGCUGCAAACCAUGUGCAGAUGAGGCUCAGCCACGAGAGAAGCAUUCCCACAUCAGG